GCUUUUCCAGAACUACAAGUAAAGGCCACAGCCAGAUGCCAGAGUAUAUAUGCAUAUUUGAACAGUCACCUGGAUCUGAUUAAGAAGGCUCAGCCUGUGGGUUUCCUUACUGUUGAUUUACAUGUUUGGCCAGAUUUCCAUGGCAACCGGUCUCCCUUAGCAGAUCUGACACUAAAGGGCAUGGUCACCGGAUUGAAACUGUCUCAGGACCUCGAUGAUCUUGCCAUUCUCUACCUGGCCACAGUUCAAGCCAUUGCUUUGGGGACUCGCUUCAUUAUAGAAGCCAUGGAGGCAGCAGGGCACUCAAUCAGUACUCUUUUCCUAUGUGGAGGCCUCAGCAAGAAUCCCCUUUUUGUGCAAAUGCAUGCGGACAUUACUGGAAGCAAUGGCAAAAAUGAGCAAAGUUGGGAAAGUUGUGUUCCCGAGACUACAGGAUAAAAAAUACUAUGAUAAGAAAUACCAAGUAUUCCUGAAGCUGGUUGAACACCAGAAGGAGUAUUUGGCGAUCAUGAAUGAUGACUGAACAGGGCUUGCAGGUGCUGAUGCCAGAAGCUUCUGUGCCAUUGCAUUAAAGACUUCUGUCAUUUGAUCCAUGUUCAAGACCCUUGAGGUAUUGUUUCAUCAUUUCUGUAUUGUCUUUCAAUAAAGAAAACAAACAUGUGCAACCAGAA
This 671-nucleotide small RNA is filed under the name Pan troglodytes (chimpanzee). Its description in RNAcentral is "processed transcript". The record is from RNAcentral. Lineage: Eukaryota; Metazoa; Chordata; Mammalia; Primates; Hominidae.